UCCCCCUCCGGCCCCGUAGGGUUUCCUCACUCCCCCCAUUUCCCCUCCCCGCACUCGACGGCGCCGCCGGAGCUUUCUUCCGCCGCCGGCCAUGCCCACCCACCCAAGCUGAUCGAUCUCACCCAAGCUGAUGGAGAACGGAUGCGUAUCAGCCCGGAUCAGGUCGUCCUCUUCUCCUCCCGGCGGCAGCGACACGGCGGCCGAGAGACUCACCGACGACCUCCUCGUCGAGAUCCUCUCGCGCGUGCCCGCCAGGUCGCUCUGCCGCUUCAAGUGCGUCUCCAAGCACUGGCUCGGCCUCAUCAACGACCGCACCUACCGCCGGAAGCUGCCCCAGACCCUGGCCGGCUUCUACGACGGGGGUCAAUUUGUAGAUUCAGGUCUUCCUUUCACCAAUAUCUCGGGAAGCCGCCAUCUCACAUAUCCCGCCUUCCUGCCCGGCCGCCGGCGGGUCAUGGUCGAGGACUGUUGCAACGGCCUCCUUCUCUUCUCCUCAUACGUUGCUGGCGACCAUGGCGACGAGUUAUACGUUGUGUGCAAUCCCGCCACAGAGGAAUGGGCUGAGUUGCCGCAUUCCGGCUAUUCCAGCUAUUCCGGUGAUGUGUCUAGUAUAAACUUGUGUUUUGAUCCAGCCGUGUCCCCCCAUUUCCAUGUGUUUUUGUUGCCGGCCGUGGAGGUGGAUGACCAACAUGGCUUCUGUAUUACCGGAGUGCAUGUCUAUUCAUCUGAAACCGGGAGUUGGGUUCAUAAGGAGAAGAGAUGGAGCGGCAAUAUUGAUGUCGGUUAUGAUCCGUCAUUUAUCUAUCUCAAUGGUUAUCUGCAUUUUUGCGCCAUUGUUGAUGAUUCUGCCCGCCAGCUAGCUGCAGUGGACAAGGAGGGGGGAGCAAGGACUGACUUUCGUGUUCCUGAUGGUCUGGAUGUUGGUUUUAUUCAGCAGUCACAGGGCUGCCUGCAUUAUGCUGGUUUUGACAGAGAUGGCAAUGAUGAUGAUGUUGAUUGACUGCUAGUUUAUGUUCUUAAAGACUAUGACAGCAAAGAAUGGAUACUGAAGCAUAGCGUCGAAACUUCACAUCUGUUUGCAGGGCGACACGCAGUCAGCCUUUAUGAGGACUUUGAUUGGAUUGCAAUUCAUCCAGAAUGUAACUUGAUCUUCUUCACUCUGGCCUGGGAGGAUAUCACAUUCAUGUGCUAUGAUAUGGAUCGUGGGCAAGUUAAAGUGAUCUGCAAUCUUGAAGAAAGCGAGCCACCAUAUUUUCCGUAUGUUCCACUAUAUGAAGAGUUACAAUCGUUGCACAAGUGAUGUCUUAUUCGUGCUAUGGAGCAGCGAGCAUGGUCUACUAUUUUGUAGGCACAGACGAGUACUGCAUUGAGGAACCAGCGAAGAAAAUAAGCACAUAUGCACAAAUCUGAGGUAGGCUUAUCAUUUUCUUCUUCCAAUCCAUUUAUCUUGAGAUCAUUUCCCACAAAAGGCAUACAUGAAGACAGUCGUGGGACAAAUAAUAUCUAUUUACUUUUGCCCAUAAAAUCCAUAUACAACGGCUAUAAUACCUGCUGUCUGCAGUACAGUUUAUCCUGUGCCAAAGCUUGUUAGGUGAUUUCGAUUUACUAUAUAAGAUUUUUUUGUUUCUUUCCUUGAGGUCAGUGCUUGUUGCACACUUUUAUGUCAUGUCUCAAAGAAAGGUGUGGAAACAUGCAUUUUCUGGACAUGAUAUUCCUGCCAAAUGCUUCCUAUAGACUAUGCAUCAUGCUUAGAUGAUUCUUCUGUUCAGUACCAGAAGAUCACAAGUAGAUCGAGUUGUUGCAUGUUUGAACCAGCCACACCAACGUGCCUGAGUUCAAUCAAACCAUCAAGAGCUACCAAAAUGAAUCCGUGCAUGAUUAAAAUUAGUAUUGAAAGGUAUUUAAUCUGCCAAUAAAUGGUUUCCUUAUUUAUACCUCCAAACAUUGGUGCACAGCCUAAUGAAAUUGCAGUUUCUACACGCAAAGGGGAAUAUUCCACUGUAUAAAGGGCUCUAGAACUAUUAGCUGUAAUGCAUUAUAAGGUACUCCCUCCGUAAACUAAUAUAAGAGCGUUUAGAUCACUAUUUUAGUGAUCUAAACACUCUUAUAUUAGUUUACAGAGGGAGUACAACCUUAGUUUUAAACAUUUUGCAUACUAACAGAUAUGUAUUGUGAUUUUAAUUUGCGUCUCUGCAGCAAUUUGACUAUUCUUUGUCUUUUACGAUGUGGAUCCGCGGCACCGUGAGAGAGGUAACGUCGGCCGGUGCCUCACCACUGGCUAUUGUGGCGGCGGCAAGGAAAAGGGCGCCGAGGAUGUGCUGCUCUGUGCACGGUCGUUGAAGUACUAUGAUCAUGUUUCUCCUCAACGACCAUAUCAAUCUGGCUGGCGUUUGCACAUGUGAUUUUGGUUGAGGAGCGCACGCUGAUCCAAUGGACAGGAGGGAAGCCGCUAACGCAUUCCGGCUAUCCCGGUGAGGUGUCUAAUAUAAGCUUGUGUUUUGAUCCAGCCGUGUCCCCCUAUUUCCAUGUGUUUUUGUUGCCGGCCGAGGAGGUGGAGGACCAACAUGACUUCUGUCUUACCGGGGUGCAUGUCUAUUCAUCUGAAACCGGGAGUUGGGUUCAUAAGGAGAAGAGAUGGAUCGGCAAUAUUGAUGUCGCUAAUGACCGGUCAACUAUCUAUCUUAAUGGUUAUCUGCGUUUCUGCGCCAUUGUUGAUGGUUCUGCCCGUCGUCUAGCUGCAGUGGACGAGGGGGGAGCAAGGACUAACUUUCAUAUUCCUGAUGGUCUGGAUGUCAGUUUUAUUCAGCAGUCAUAGGGCUGCCUGCAUUAUGCUGGUUUUGACAUAUAUGACAAUGAUGAUGAUGUUGUUUGACUGCUAGUUUAUGUUCUUAAAGACUGUCACAGCAAAGAAUGGAUACUGAAGCAUAGCAUCGAAACUUCGCAUGUGUUUGGAGGACGACGGAUAGAGGACCUUGAUGAGCACUUUAAUUGGAUUGCAAUUUAUCCAGAAUGUGACUGACCUUCACUGUGGGCCGGGAGGAUAUCGUCGAAACUUCGCAUGUGUUUGGAGGACGACGCAUAGAGGACCUUGAUGAGCACAUUAAUUGGAUUGCAAUUUAUCCAGAAUGUGACUUGAUUUUCUCACUGUGGGCCGGGAGGAUAUCACACUGAUGUGCUAUAUAUGGAUUGUCGACAAGUCAAAGUGAUAUGCAAUCUUGAAGAAGGCAAACCGCCAUAUUUUCCAAAUGUGCCGCUUUAUGUAGAACUACAGUCGUUGCACAAGUGAUGUCUUAUUCGUGCUAUGGAGCAGUGGGCAUGGUAUGUCUGCUUUAAUUUGGUCCUCUUUUCUCUGAUGUAUGCAUGUUUUUAAGAAGCAAUGGUGGUUCGCUCUGGGGGCACUGCGGCUGAUUUCUCUUGGACUAGUUAUUCAAAGUUUCGAUGUAGUUUUGUUGCGUGUACUAGUGUUGUCUCUGUAUUACCAAUGGUUCUGGACAGCGGGAGAUGGUGAUACACUUCGGAUGAUUACAUUGCCACUUUCAUUUGGUGCUAUUUUCUUGUUCCGUGUUUUAAAUAGGUUGUGUUAGCUGAACAUCACAGCUACAAUGCUGCUCUUAAUAGGAAAUAUUGUGGAUCAUAA
This is an RNA transcript of Triticum aestivum (bread wheat), 3637 nucleotides long. It is a transcript of the gene named F-box protein At5g07610, with no coding region annotated. The record is from RefSeq and is a predicted model, not a curated record. NCBI's taxonomy places the organism in Eukaryota, Viridiplantae, Streptophyta, Magnoliopsida, Poales, Poaceae. The transcript is spliced from 5 exons.